RNAcentral lists this ribosomal RNA (416 nucleotides) under uncultured bacterium. RNAcentral describes it as "bacterial SSU rRNA". It matches the Rfam family "Bacterial small subunit ribosomal RNA", at positions 355 to 787 of the family's 1533-position model. The record is from RNAcentral.
UGGGGAAUAUUGCACAAUGGGGAAAGACCCUGAUGCAGCGAUGCCGCGUGAGUGAAGAAGUAUCUCGGUAUGUAAAGCUCUAUCAGCAGGGAAGAAAAUGACGGUACCUGACUAAGAAGCCCCGGCUAACUACGUGCCAGCAGCCGCGGUAAUACGUAGGGGGCAAGCGUUAUCCGGAUUUACUGGGUGUAAAGGGAGCGUAGACGGAGCAGCAAGUCUGAUGUGAAAGGCGGGGGCUCAACCCCUGGACUGCAUUGGAAACUGUUGAUCUUGAGUACCGGAGAGGUAAGCGGAAUUCCUAGUGUAGCGGUGAAAUGCGUAGAUAUUAGGAGGAACACCAGUGGCGAAGGCGGCUUACUGGACGGUAACUGACGUUGAGGCUCGAAAGCGUGGGGAGCAAACAGGAUUAGAUACCC